RNAcentral lists this transfer RNA (77 nucleotides) under Marinobacter nauticus. RNAcentral's name for it is "tRNA-Ile". It matches the Rfam family "tRNA". From Rfam's summary of the family: Transfer RNA (tRNA) molecules are approximately 80 nucleotides in length. Their secondary structure includes four short double-helical elements and three loops (D, anti-codon, and T loops). The record is from RNAcentral. Lineage: Bacteria; Pseudomonadati; Pseudomonadota; Gammaproteobacteria; Pseudomonadales; Marinobacteraceae. RNAcentral also lists the same sequence under 18 other names.
GGGCCUAUAGCUCAGUUGGUUAGAGCAGAGGACUCAUAAUCCUUUGGUCGCUGGUUCGAGUCCAGCUGGGCCCACCA